UACGUAGGGGGCAAGCGUUGUCCGGAUUUACUGGGCGUAAAGAGCGUGUAGGCGGCCACGCAGGUCCGUUGUGAAAACUGGAGGCUCAACCUUCAGACGUCGACGGAAACCGUGUGGCUAGAGUCCGGAAGAGGAGAGUGGAAUUCCUGGUGUAGCGGUGAAAUGCGCGGAUAUCAGGAAGAACACCAAUGGCGAAGGCAGCUCUCUGGGACGGUACUGACGCUGAGACGCGAAAGCGUGGGGAGCGAACAGG
Molecule: ribosomal RNA, 253 nt
Filed under: uncultured bacterium
Lineage: Bacteria
Description: partial 16S ribosomal RNA
Rfam family: Bacterial small subunit ribosomal RNA
Source: RNAcentral